UGUGCCAGCGGAGCCAGCUGGGGGAAGCCCGAGCAGGGCAGGGACGCGACGGGAUCCUGACCUCCCCCAGCCUGUCUGUGCCCUCGUUCAUCCUUACGGCACACGCACAGGCUGCAAACUCGUUACCCUCGGGGAGAGCAGUACCAGGGAGCAGGAAACACGAGCAAAGAAGAGGAGAAGCAAAUUGCUACCCAGUGACCGUGAGCAGGGUGCACCGGUGUCCCGGGCAGGGCGCAGCCGCCCCGGCCGGAGCCCGGCUUCCCCGGGAACGCACCCCAAGCCGCCGCCGCUGCUGCCCGGCCGGGCCGGGGCACCCACCGCCCCUGCUCUUUCCCACGUGCUGCUGCUCUGCUCAAAUAUUUGCUUUGGAAAGCGCUGCCUUGCCCCGAGCCCCGCAGCCAAGGCUGUCCCUGGCAGGGAGGCUGCGAGCGCCUGGCGCCCAGAAGGAUCCCGCUCCGGUGCAUGAUCCCAGGCCGAUUUAGGGAAAACAACGCUCGGCAUCACCGGUCCUCGUUAACCCCCUCGGGCGAGGGGCCGGCUCGCGCCCGCCGGGGCUGGGGCACCCCGGGGCCCCCAGCCAGCCCUGCUCUCCUUUGCUUUUCAAAACUCGCUUUUCAGCUCGCCUUGCUCCGGGCCGGAGGACAAGGAGCUCCGGAAGAGCUUCCCGGUUGGAGCAGGGCAUGCUUGGAUGGUUUUGGAGGAAAAAUUUGGGGCAGCCCCACCGCCACCCGCCACUUGUCGUGCUCUCGCAGCGCUCCCCGGCCCUGGCCUCCGCGCUGCCGGCCGCCGGGAGCUGGAACAGCCCUCGGCGUCUGGGACACUGGCUUUUGUUUCGGAGAAUAAAGUUAGAGCUGUUACUCAGCCUGUCGCUAUUCCA
Molecule: long non-coding RNA, 877 nt
Organism: Rhea pennata
Lineage: Eukaryota; Metazoa; Chordata; Aves; Rheiformes; Rheidae
Exons: 2
Source: RefSeq, a predicted model, not a curated record